ACUUUGGACGAGGCAGGAUGAGAUGUGGGUAGGGGUGAAAUGCCAAUCGAACGUGGAGAUAGCUGGUUCUCCCCGAAAUAGCUUUAGGGCUAGCCUCAUGGCGAGAGUACAGGCGGUAGAGCACUGAACGGGGUAGGGGCCUAUCCGGCUACUGAACCUAAUCAAACUGCGAAUGGCUGUACUUAUCCAUGGGAGUCAGACUGUGAGUAAUAAGGCCCAUAGUCAAGAGGGAAACAGCCCAGACCAACAGCUAAGGUCCCCAAUGCCGUACUAAGUGGCGAAGGAUGUGGAAUUUCGAAAACAACCAGGAUGUUGGCUCAGAAGCAGCCACCAUUAAAAGAGUGCGUAAUAGCUCACUGGUCGAGAGACUCUGCGCCGAAGAUGUCCGGGGCUAAAGUACGGAACCGAAGCUUUGGCAAUUAACAUAAGUUAAUUGGGUAGGGGAGCGUUCCUGCAUGGGAGAAGCCUGACCGGAAGGACAGGUGGACAGGCAGGAAGAGAGAAUGCCGGUAUGAGUAGCGAAAAGAAGGGUGAGAAUCCCUUCCACCGAAAGCCUAAGGGUUCCUGGGCAACGAUCGUCGUCCCAGGGUAAGUCGGGACCUAAUCCGAGGCGGAGACGCGUAGGAGAUGGACAACAGGUUGAAAUUCCUGUACUGGCUGAGGCCGUUUGAGCGAAGGAGUGACACAGGAAGGAAGGCACGCGUGCGAAUGGAAGAGCACGUCCAAGCAGGUAGGUCGGGAGACAGGCAAAUCCGUUUCCCAUAAGGCCGAGAUGCGAUGGGGAGCUUCUGGAGACAGAAGCGAAGGGGCUGGCACUAAACUGUCGAGAAAAGCUUCUAGUGAGGACUCAGGCACCCGUACCGAAACCGACACAGGUAGGCAGGAUGAGAAUUCUAAGGUGCGCGGGAAAACCCUCGUUAAGGAACUCGGCAAAAUAUAUCCGUAACUUCGGGAAAAGGAUAACCCAGCGUACGUGAAGUGCAGAAGCGCAUGGAGCGGAGAUGGGUGGCAGAAGAGAGGCCCAAGCGACUGUUUACCACAAACACAGGCGUCUGCUAAAGCGAAAGCUGAUGUAUAGAUGCUGACACCUGCCCGGUGCUGGAAGGUUAAGAGGAAGUGUUAGCGCAAGCGAAGCAGUGAAUUGAAGCCCCAGUAAACGGCGGCCGUAACUAUAACGGUCCUAAGGUAGCGAAAUUCCUUGUCGGGUAAGUUCCGACCCGCACGAAAGGUGUAACGAUUUGGGCACUGUCUCAACGAGGGACCCGGUGAAAUUGAAGUACCUGUGAAGAUGCAGGUUACCCGCGACUGGACAGAAAGACCCCAUGGAGCUUUACUGUAACCUGAGAUUGGAUUCCGGUAAGAGAUGUACAGGAUAGUUGGGAGGCUGAGAAGUGAGUACGCCAGUAUUCAUGGAGCCGCUGGUGGGAUACCAACCUUGUUUUAUUGGAAUUCUAACGAGAAGCGUAACGAGCUUGCGGACAGUCUCAGGCGGGCAGUUUGACUGGGGCGGUCGCCUCCGAAAGAGUAACGGAGGCGCCCAAAGGUUCCCUCAGCGCGGACGGAAACCGCGCGAAGAGUGCAAAGGCAGAAGGGAGCUUGACUGCGAGACGGACAGGUCGAGCAGGGACGAAAGUCGGGCUUAGUGAUCCGGUGGUAGAGAGUGGAAUUGCCAUCGCUCAACGGAUAAAAGCUACCCUGGGGAUAACAGGCUUAUCUCUCCCAAGAGUCCAUAUCGACGGGGAGGUUUGGCACCUCGAUGUCGGCUCAUCACAUCCUGGGGCUGAAGUAGGUCCCAAGGGUUGGGCUGUUCGCCCAUUAAAGUGGUACGCGAGCUGGGUUCAGAACGUCGUGAGACAGUUCGGUCCCUAUCCAUCGCGGGCGUAAGAAACUUGAAAGGGGCUGCUCCUAGUACGAGAGGACCGGAGUGGACCGACCAAUGGUGUACCAGUCAUGGCGCCAGCCGUGCAGCUGGGUAGCUACGUCGGGGACGGAUAAACGCUGAAAGCAUCUAAGCGUGAAACCAGCCUAGAGAUGAGGUUUCUCAUUGU
Molecule: ribosomal RNA, 2048 nt
Filed under: human gut metagenome
Description: bacterial LSU rRNA
Rfam family: Bacterial large subunit ribosomal RNA
Source: RNAcentral